This 497-nucleotide ribosomal RNA is filed under the name uncultured bacterium. Its description in RNAcentral is "partial 16S ribosomal RNA". It matches the Rfam family "Bacterial small subunit ribosomal RNA", at positions 28 to 507 of the family's 1533-position model. The record is from RNAcentral.
GAUGAACGCUGGCGGCGUGCCUAAUACAUGCAAGUCGAGCGAACAGACGAGGAGCUUGCUCCUCUGACGUUAGCGGCGGACGGGUGAGUAACACGUGGAUAACCUACCUAUAAGACUGGGAUAACUUCGGGAAACCGGAGCUAAUACCGGAUAAUAUAUUGAACCGCAUGGUUCAAUAGUGAAAGACGGUUUUGCUGUCACUUAUAGAUGGAUCCGCGCCGCAUUAGCUAGUUGGUAAGGUAACGGCUUACCAAGGCAACGAUGCGUAGCCGAACUGAGAGGGUGAUCGGCCACACUGGAACGGAGACACGGUCCAGACUCCUAAGGGAGGCAGCAGUAGGGAAUCUUCCGCAAUGGGCGAAAGCAUGACGGAGCAACGCCGCGUGAGUGAUGAAGGUCUUCGGAUCGUAAAACUCUGUUAUUAGGGAAGAACAAAUGUGUAAGUAAAUAUGCACGUCUUGACGGUACCUAAUCAGAAAGCCACGGCUAACUACGUG